AAAAAAAAAAAACUACUCUCAACUCUCACCCUGUUGGAUGGUCGGAUUGCCUCGGCCGCCGCCGUCGCCGCCACCUCCCGUCCAUCCACGGUAUGUGCCGAAACGGGGCCGGGUGCUCAAGAGCAUCUUGAGGUCCAUCUUCUACUCUUGCAUGAAGUUUCUAUGGCUGGGGAGGCACCAAGGUCCGAUCUACCACCAUGAAGGAUAUCAGUAAGGACGAUAACAAUACCUUGUGAUCCCGGAAGAAGAUCUUUAACAAAUUUAUAAUUUUAUAUUGUUUCUAAAAUGAAGUUGCUGUUGUCUUAUAUAUCUACUUAUUUUUGUCAAUUCUGUAAUUGUUGAGUAUGAUGCUCUGGAAGGUAUAUCAUUUUGCUCCCCUUCUACUUUUGUCAAUUUUAUCGUUCUCACCGUUUUUGUUCCUCACAUAGAUUGUAGAUUCGGAGGAGGAAAAUUGGGUAAAGUAGUUAGCACGUAUUAGUGGAGCACCAAGUUGACAUGGAUCUGGAAG
RNAcentral lists this long non-coding RNA (508 nucleotides) under Elaeis guineensis (African oil palm). RNAcentral describes it as "long non-coding RNA (EGUI_LNC022508)". The record is from RNAcentral. Lineage: Eukaryota; Viridiplantae; Streptophyta; Magnoliopsida; Arecales; Arecaceae.